GUCCUGAGGAUAGGCACCUCCAUCUUGGUGGGCUCUGGCGCCUCGACCUUGUUUUGGCUUGAUAGUUGGCUAGGGGACUCCCCCCUGGCCGCCCGGUUCCCCAUCCUCUUCGACAUUGUAGUUGACCCUCGGGUCUCGGUCGAGGCGGCCCUUAUUGACUUAGGGCGCCUCGCGUUUCGUCGUCCUUUUGGCCCUGCCGAGGUGGCUGCUUGGGAUGUCCUCCUCCAGGACAUCGCCCUGUUGCCUAUGGACGUGGCUGACUCUCCGGAUGCCAUCUCCUGGCGUCUGGAUUCCUCAGGCCGCUUCUCCACCAAGUCCCUUUACGCGGCUAUUGCCCCAUCAGUUGCCCCGGAGCCUUUCGGCCUUAUCUGGGACAUCCGCCUCCCACUUAAGAUCCGGAUCUUCUUGUGGCAAUGGAUCCGCGGC
This 426-nucleotide ribosomal RNA is filed under the name Triticum aestivum (bread wheat). Its description in RNAcentral is "partial small subunit ribosomal RNA". The record is from RNAcentral. Lineage: Eukaryota; Viridiplantae; Streptophyta; Magnoliopsida; Poales; Poaceae.